Molecule: long non-coding RNA, 344 nt
Filed under: Homo sapiens (human)
Lineage: Eukaryota; Metazoa; Chordata; Mammalia; Primates; Hominidae
Description: HSALNT0386125
Source: RNAcentral
GAGGAGCAGGAGGAGGAGGAGGAGGUGUCAUCUGUGGACAAUACCUGGAAGGGCAAGGGGUGGUGGGUGUCACUAAAAGGAACCAGCCCCAGCUACUUCACUGCAGGCUGGUGCCCUGGUGAAGGUGAAUCAGUCAGAGGAGUGCUGACUGCCCAUGGGGCUGCACCAUAUCAUGGUUCCCACUAGCAAUAUAUGAGAGUUCCAGUUGCUCCACAACCUCGCCAACAUAUGACAGGUGCUUUUGUUAAAGAUCUUGCUGUUGAUUCCCGGGCAAGAUGGCUGAAUAGGAACAGCUCGGGUCUGUGGCUCCCUAAGAGAUCAACGCAGAAGGCGGGUGAUUUCUG